RNAcentral lists this ribosomal RNA (398 nucleotides) under uncultured bacterium. Its description in RNAcentral is "bacterial SSU rRNA". It matches the Rfam family "Bacterial small subunit ribosomal RNA", at positions 29 to 416 of the family's 1533-position model. The record is from RNAcentral.
AACGAACGCUGGCGGCGCGCCUAAUACAUGCAAGUCGAGCGAGAAGACGUAGCAAUACGUUUGUAAAGCGGCGAACGGGUGAGGAAUACAUGGGUAACCUACCCUCGAGUGGGGAAUAACUAGCCGAAAGGUUAGCUAAUACCGCGUACGCUCCUUGGACUUCGGUUCAGGGAGGAAAGCGAUACCGUGGGUAUCGCGCUCUUGGAUGGGCUCAUGUCCUAUCAGCUUGUUGGNGAGGUAACGGCUCACCAAGGCUUCGACGGGUAGCUGGUCUGAGAGGACGAUCAGCCACACUGGCACUGCGACACGGGCCAGGACUCCCACGGGAGGCAGCAGUAAGGAUAUUGCGCAAUGGGCGAAAGCCUGACGCAGCGACGCCGCGGUGGGGGAUGAAGGUC